UCCGUUUUGCGUUCUCCGGUUCUUUUAGGCUCGGUGGAAGAUGGUAAAGUCAGAACGUACCGAUUGUAGCUGUUGCUUUAAGCUACCCUGGGUCGUUGUACAUUCAAGCCUAGCACUGCGCAGCAUUAUUUUCAGCUUCAAACCGCAAAUGUUUUCAGAGCCGCUAUCACAUAAAUUAGCAGCGCGCCAGGCUGACAGCACGCUGCGGACGGGCAGAUUUCCUUCGCGUUCACUAACUCGUAACCAGAGAAAAAAGAUACAAUUUAGCUACCCGUGUGAUGUGACACCAACCCGUCGUAGCAAACUUCUGUCAACUUGCUACUGAGACUGAAUGUGUUUGACUUGCAUAGAGUGGUCAUAUUAGAGUGCAUAGAGUGGUCAUAAUAUGGGUUAUGUGUAUAAUCCGUUUUUUACGCAAACCUGCGAUCCAACCUGUUGCAAAUUUAACAUGAAUAGCCCAUAGUCUACAUACUAUUGUCUUGUCCAUUGUUUUGUUUUUUAAGAAAACCAAUACAAAUGUAUCAGUGUUUGUGUAUUCAUUUGAGAGUUCAAUUCACUUGCUAGAAAUAAGCGCAUCAGAACUUCACAGUUUAUUCUCAUUUAGCAGCCUGGGGCACCUGUGGCUCAGAACACAUUUUAUGAUCUGAGGGGUGGAGCCUUUGGUUACUUCACCACAGACCCUGUGGUAUAAAGUAGGCAAAGCCUCCACCUCUCAGUGAUCACCUAGGUGAGGACUCAAAGCGAAACCUGCACAUACAGAGAGUACCUCAAGACCAAAACAUUCCUAUGAGGCAGACGCCAGUACCAGUAUGGCAGAAUUCAUCAAGAAGACGGUGUUGGAUGAAACCCCCAGUAAAAGGGGAUAAAAAGGUUGAGGUCCAUACUGAGAAGAUAGGACGGCUCCCAGUUCGAUGAGGAACACCAAUCUUGAUUGAUGAUCCGGGUCACAGCACCAAUGUGACCUUCCUGGUCCCGUCCGUGAGUCAACACAGGAAGGAGUAAUGGAUGGAUAGUUAUUUUAUUUCCAAAACUACAAUCAUGGGACACACACAGUAUGGAUGAAUGAUGAGUAGUAGCCGGGAUAUAAACAGCAAUCCCACAGCAAUUCUCCAUGUAUCUGCUGUAUAAUAUACUGACAAAAUAACAAUUGAAAUGUCUUUCAAAGUCAGUGCAUUUAACAAUAAUAAAUAAAUAAAAAUGUGUUUCCAUGUGUAAUCUCAUAUUCACAACAUCAGAAUAAACUAUCAUCCUUUUUAGUAUCAAAAUAAAUCAAAUUAACCUAAAAUUACUCUGUCACACUCUUGUGGUGAAGAAAUAUAAUACACCUAGAAUGUACCACAUAUUUUCCUCAGCUAACAAAACCAGGCUAAUACGCUGGUUGGUGCUCAUGAGUUUAUAAAACAUAUAUAUUUGUCAUAAAUUACCUGCAAUGAUGGGACACACACAGUAUGGAUGAAUGAUCAGUAGUCGACAGGAUACAAAUGGCACUCCUAAAGAAGAUGCAUUCGUUAGCUAGCAUAAAACUCACAUGGCAAGUAACAUAUAGAGUGGCUUAUUUGACGCUAAACCAACAACAUUAAUUACUAAACAUAAAUUGCUAAUGUACGAGGUAAAAUGUGGGUUUUAUGAUUUAAUGUCAACUUUAUACAUUUCUGUCCCUAGACCAUUCAAUUUUCAACUCACCCACAGCAAUUCUCCAUAAUUCUGCUGUGGAUUACCCAGAAUCCCAUACCUUUAUCACUGAGUGUGUUAGACAAUGUAAACACAGUAAUCCACCAGGAGGUGGCAUAAUGUUCAUUUUAUUUUGGAAUUUAACAAUUUAAUCAUACUGUUACAAGAGCAACUGUUGACAAUUUGCAGAGCCUCGCUGUACAGUGGAAAAACGGGAAAAGUUCAGGAUUGGAGGAAUACAUGAUAAGGACAGUGGAGGAUGACCUGGUGGAAAUGAAGAAUAAAUGCUGGUCAUGCUGCAAAGAAUUUCCACUGUGUUAGCAGAUGCUGAGACGGUACAACCUGCUGACUGAUGCAUACCAUAUACUUGGCCUUGGAUACCAGUUCCUACUCACCCUCUCAGUUACCCAGGUAGUUCCUACUCACCCUCUCAGCAACCCAGGUAGUUCCUACUCACCCUCUCUGUUACCCAGGUAGCUUGUCAGUGAAGUUUCUCUACCUUAAAGUAUAUCAAGAGCACUCUCUCACAAGAACCUCUAGAGGCCUUCAUGCUGAUGGCCACCGGGAAGGACAUCCUAAUGGCCCUGGAUACUGACAUGGUGAUCCAUAGAGUUGCAGAGAAAAGCCAGCUGUUGUGACAUAUUUUCUAUAACUUGCUUACUUACCAUUAUUUUACUCCUACAUUUCUAAUGUCUCUUUCCUGUCUGUGAUAUUGCUGUCCAAUACUUUGACAGAGUAAAGCCAGCCAGCUGACCUUGAGCAGCAGUUAGACAGUUCUAUGUUUCAGUGAGUAUUGUGGAUAUUUUAGCAUCUCUUUUUUACUCUAAGCUUCUGGUGAUGUAGAUGAAUCAUGAUGGCUUGUGCUGCUCUCUUACAGGUUACAUUCUAUGUUUGGAGAGGUGUUCAACCAUUGUUUUUUAGAAGGUGUACUCCCAUGACUUAAAGCCAGCCAGCUGACCCUGAGCAGCAGUUAGACAGUUCUAUGUCUCAGUGAGUAUUGUGGAUAUUUUAGCAUCUCUUUUUCACUCAAGGCUUCAUGUGAUGUGAGGUAGUUCAAUCAUGACAAAUUCAGUGUGUUUUCUGUAGAGGUUUUAUAACAAUGUGCAGCAUUUGUGUGUGUGCGUUCCGCAGCCUUUUUAAAGUAGUACUGCAAUGGUGAUCAAUGGUUUUGAUGCAGCUAGGUGGUUGUAUUAGGGACUGGUCGUGUGUGCAUUAGCAAGGCGGCCGUGGGGGAGUAUACGGGGGCCAGUUCUGGUGGGCUGGUCUGGAUCAAAGUCCUGGGCCGUUUUUUACUCCCAGUCCAUCCAUUACUGUAAGUAAUGUAUUGUCAUAAAACAUUUAAUUAUAAUGACAACAUUCACCUAGGAAUUCACUUGUUGAAGGCCACAGGACUAAAAAUGAUCAAAUUCAACAACCAUCUCCAUGUUACUAACAAAUAUAGUCAUGGGUGGUAAUGCUACAAUUCACUCGAAAAGGCAAGGCACACAGGGAAAUUAUAUUGGGGCUUAUUUUUUAUACACCUCAAAUGUGAACCCCCUACAGGAUCACAGUGACUCUAUCGGUUUAAGUGAGGACUACAAAAUCACUUUAAGUAACUGUACUCAGAUAUACUAAGUGCAAUGGGUUUCCUAAAAGUUUUGAGAAAUGAUAGGGUUUACAGUGUAUGACCAAUAUAUUAUGCAAGUAUGAUUUACAUUUUAAUAAUUCUACUUUUUCUGUAUUUAAACUAUUGUAUUUUGUUGUGAAAUUAAUCUUGCUGCUCUGUGUACCACUGACUUCUUUACUUUUUGGCCUUGUUUUGCAUAUAUUUUAACUUCCUAUAAUCCUUAUUAUACUGUAUUUAUUCCUAUAUAUAUUUAUUCAUCAUUUGUUUGUUAAUGUUGUUUAUGGACUCACGUUGUAAAAUAUCUGUUUAUUUUUCCCCCUUCUGGAACAAUAAAGAC
This is a long non-coding RNA of Oncorhynchus kisutch (coho salmon), 3614 nucleotides long. RefSeq lists it as uncharacterized. Lineage: Eukaryota; Metazoa; Chordata; Actinopteri; Salmoniformes; Salmonidae. The transcript has 3 exons. The record is from RefSeq and is a predicted model, not a curated record.